Molecule: ribosomal RNA, 492 nt
Filed under: uncultured bacterium
Lineage: Bacteria
Description: partial 16S ribosomal RNA
Rfam family: Bacterial small subunit ribosomal RNA
Source: RNAcentral
AGGGAAGGCUGGCGGUAGGCCUAACACAUGCAAGUCGAACGGCAGCACAUGUAUAGCUUGCUCUUACGGGUGGCGAGUGGUGGACGGGUGAGGAAUACAUCGGAAUCUAUUUGUGCGUGGGUGAUUACGUAGGGAAACUUACGCUAAUACCGCAUAUGUCCUGCGGGUGAAAGCAGGGGAUCUUCGGUCCGUUUGUUCGUGAAUGAGUGGAUGUCGGAUUAGCUAGUUGGCGGGGUAAAGGCCCACCAAGGCGACGAUCCGUAGCUGGUCUGAGAGGAUGAUCAGCCACACUGGAACUGAGACACGGUCCAGACUCCUACGGGAGCACGCAGUGGGCACACUUGGACAAUGGGCGCAAGCCUGAUCCAGCCAUACCGCGUGGGAGAAGAAGGAAUUCGGGUUGUAAAGCCCUUUUGUUGGGAAAGACAAAAAACAGGUUAAUACCCCGCUGUUCUGACGGUACCCAAAGAAUAAGCACCGGCUAACUUCGUG